CCAAACAGUGGUGGCACGCAAGCAGCAGCCGUCUGGGCGUCGUGCCAAGCCGUGAAAAGGAGACGCAGUGUACUACGGACAGGCGAGGUCAUGCUGGUUUCCUACUCAGCAGGAUUUACAGGCACUGAACACUUUUGCUCCCCUCUAAUCAUCGAAGUCAAGGGCAGUGUGCACUGAGUUGAACAAGUUCCUUUCUGACAAUCAAAACCAGUGGCCAGGUUUGAAGGUCUUCAAGUUCAUCUAAAGGGUCUUAAACCUAGCGGCAGGACUUAAUUUUACAAUGCAGAGCUGGGAAUUUUAAUAUGUGAGGUAUGUACAAUAUGUGCUUCUUAGGUGUUGAUGAAUGUCUGCCUCCUACAAACCUGUCAAACUCAUCAUCCGAGCUAUGAGCGUCUUCACUGCUCUCCGCUAGCGGCCAGUUAUCUGUCUGACUAUCGUUCUGUCCGACUGUCAGUCACCCGAACCCGAGCAGCUGGGAAUGCUGUUUGCUGAUGUGUCUCCUCUGCAAAUCGACACCUCGCUGCCUCAAAGCGCACCGACACCACUUUGCGGCAAAUGAUUUACAGAUCAAAGAGGCUGUAGACGUGCACAUAUUUAUGACCGACAAAUUAUGCUGGUUGCAUCAGCACAAUACUUUCAUUCAUUUUUAAUGCAUUUGGCGCGUUGAAAAUCAUUUUGCAGCAUUUGCACAAGCAAGAUCUUUUAAAUUUCUUCCUUUUUCUAAACACUCAGAUGCAUAUUGCCGCUUUCAUCUUACAUGAACACUGGGCUCCAUUAGCUAUUGUACUAUCAGCGUUACCAUUACCCUAAAGCUGAAAGAUGUGUCAUUAUUAUAUAACAGCAUAAUGUUUUGUUUUAGCUGUUACAUUUACUAUAACUCAAGAUGGCACCGUAUCAAGUGAUGUCAUUUUCAGUGUGUGUGUAAACACUUAGCAGGUAUUAUGUUUGGCAGUGAAACAACGGUGUAAUAGCUCUGCAGUAUCAUGUGAAACACAGAGUCAGAGGGUGCAGUAUGUGUUUACAUGCUUGCAUACACCUGGGAUUCAGGUUCAGACUGCGUGAGAGCGCGUUAAUUUGUGAGGCCCAUGAUAAAAGGUGUUAUGUAACAAAUAUGAGGUGUGAACUACUGUGGUGAAUCAUUUCGUCUCUAGGGAACUCCAGCUAUAAGUUCAACACAUACUUGGAUUUCUUUACUGCGCUCUAGAUAACUAUAAAUUAAAGUGAUGGAAUGUUAUACAAAUGUGGAUGUUAUAGAGAUUAAUUGCUACUACCAAGCCAAAAAAUCAUACAGUAAUCCAUUUAAGACACUAAUCUGAAGUUAAUAAUUUCUUUAUGCAUCCACACCUUUUAUAAUGGCAUAAAUUGACGACGCAGUGACAGAUCUGUCCCAGAAUGCACACAGUCUACAAUGAAUGGUAUUUUAUAUGCAGACUCAGUUACUAACACAUACACAGAGCAAUGCUCAUUCAUCUCCUGUCAGUGACAGAAGUUGAGUUCAGGCUUUUUCCUUCCAGUGAGGAGCUGUACUCGUGGGAAUGAAUGUUAAAAAUUACAUGCAGCAGUGAAAACUAGAGCGCACACAUGCCACAGGUCCGGAUGACAGAAGUAGCUCAAAGGCACAACGACACAGUUACAGACGAGAAAGCCAAGGCAGUUCUGCUUCCAUGCUGAAUGUUUUAACCAAAUUUAAAACCCAUGUGUUUGCAUGGGUGACAUAGGGUGA
Long non-coding RNA from Acanthochromis polyacanthus (spiny chromis), 1723 nucleotides. RefSeq lists it as uncharacterized. The record is from RefSeq and is a predicted model, not a curated record. The transcript has 3 exons. Lineage: Eukaryota; Metazoa; Chordata; Actinopteri; Pomacentridae.